This 475-nucleotide ribosomal RNA is filed under the name uncultured bacterium. RNAcentral's name for it is "SSU rRNA". It matches the Rfam family "Bacterial small subunit ribosomal RNA", at positions 26 to 518 of the family's 1533-position model. The record is from RNAcentral.
AGGACGAACGCUGGCGGCGUGCUUAACACAUGCAAGUCGAACGGAGUCCAUCCGGUGGCAACACCGGUGAAGGCUCAGUGGCGAACGGGUGCGGAACACGUGAGCAACCUGCCCCAAAGACCGGGAUAACACCGGGAAACUGGUGCUAAUACCGGAUACCCCCACGAGCUCGCAUGGGCUCAUGAGGAAAGGGUUUCCGCUUUGGGAGGGGCUCGCGGCCUAUCAGCUUGUUGGUGAGGUAACGGCUUACCAAGGCGACGACGGGUAGCUGGUCUGAGAGGACGAUCAGCCACACUGGGACUGAGACACGGCCCAGACUCCUACGGGAGGCAGCAGUGGGGAAUCUUGCGCAAUGGGCGAAAGCCUGACGCAGCAACGCCGCGUGGGGGAUGAAGGCCUCGGGUUGUAAACCCUUUCAGUGGGACGAAUUGACGGUACCACAGAAGAAGCCCGGCAACUACGUGCCAGCAGCCGC